RNAcentral lists this unclassified non-coding RNA (309 nucleotides) under Hevea brasiliensis (rubber tree). Lineage: Eukaryota; Viridiplantae; Streptophyta; Magnoliopsida; Malpighiales; Euphorbiaceae. The record is from RNAcentral.
GUUUACUUUUUCCGAUUUUGGCACUUGGAAUACGUCCGGGGCAUCUAAAAAUGCUGGCAAGGACUAUAAUUUUGACCCAUUUCUAAAGUUGCUCCGACAACUCGUCUAUUCGGCCCGAAAAUACAGAUACUGGCGUCGGUAAAAUUUUUGUGAAAUGAAGAUACUUACGCGAAGCCCACAUUACUAGGAGUUAGAAUAUAAUUUUUAUGAAAUUAAAUAAGCUCAUUUAAAACUUGAAAAAACACUGCAAAAUCUAUGAGACCCAUCAGAUUUUCGAUGUUGAAAAAUUUUAAAAUUUAUAUCACCGCG